This is a long non-coding RNA of Bos taurus (domestic cattle), 1428 nucleotides long. The record is from Ensembl. NCBI's taxonomy places the organism in Eukaryota, Metazoa, Chordata, Mammalia, Artiodactyla, Bovidae.
ACCGGCAGAGACUUGAGAAAACUAUGGGGCAAGAAUGUGAGAUUAGAUAUAUACAAAUUAAUUGACUGAGGGGCACUUUCUGGGGUAUAGAGGAUUUAACACCCCAAGAAGAACUCUGUUAUAGACUGAAUGCGUCGCCCCAAAAUUCAUCUCUUUAAACCUAAUCCCCCGUGUGACUUGGAGGUAAGAGGCCCCAGACAGCUCGCCUGUCCUUUCCACCACGUGAAGACACAGCAAAGAGACAGCUGUUUGUGAACCAGGAAGUGGGCUCUCCCCAGACACCAAAUCGGCAAGCACCUCAGUCUUGGACUUCCCAGCCUUCAGAACCGUGAGAAAUAAAAGUUUGUUGUUUAAAUCACUCAGACUGUGGUCUUCUGUUAUAGCAGCACAAACUCAGAUACUGAUGUUCAGGGAAAACUUGCUAAGGGGAUGGAUUUUUAGAAACCGGGGGGAAAAGCCCAUUCUUAGCGAAGUGAGAAAUGUCUGAAUGGUACUGGCAGACUGUAGAGGAAGGAAUAAAGAGGCUGAGCAAAGUGAGCAUACCGGACCAGAAGAUCCAUCAGAGGACUGUGCUCUGCGAAUGUCCCCAGAGGAGACGGCAUUCACCCACGGCCAUCAGGAAAACAGUGCUGAGAGAAAGACCAACAUCACCAAGUCUGCAGGCCAGAGAUGAAGAUCCUGGUGGAAUCCGUGAUGGGAAAAGAUGCAGUUGGAAUUUAUGGCAAGUCUACUGGAAGAAUCAUGACACAGACCCUUGGGAUUCUGAAGCACAGUCAUGCCAUCUGCAGCAGAUAAUUGCUGCCCAUUGAGAAACAGCUCUUGGCCUAUCACUGUGCCCUGUAGAGACUGAUCAUUUGACCACUGGACAGUAAACCUAUCCAUUCCCUCAGACCCUUUUCAGCUGAGUGACCGGAUUUGCUAACUCCCACCAUUCCGGCUGUAUUUGUUGACAUUCUAAUAAACAGUGCUUCCCUUCUCCGUCACUCAUUUAUUUAUAACAGAUGGAUUCAUGAAUUCUUAGUUAACAGAUUAAAAUCCAUUGCCAUCAUUAUUUAUUUUGAUGUUCUCAUUGUCCUAGAUUUGAUCAAUGGGAGUGCCAGUCCUUUGUGAGUCAGGAGCCCCAGAUGUGUCGUGUCUUCCUCAUUCUUUGAGCCCUUUCUUACUUUUUGGUGUAACCAGAUGCUCCCAACUCAACUUGUACUUUCCCUGCUGCAGCUCUUGAGUCAACCAUUUCUUCAAGGAUCUCUGCUUUCUUUUCAUGGAGAAUGGUAUCCAAGGACCAUGAUCUGAGUUGUGGGUUUGCUCAUUUCUCCUGUUGUGUCAUUGCUUAUAGUUCCUCUCAGCACAGAUAUACAUACAAAUGUCUGUAUUUAUCGCUAUACCAGUUUAUACAGAUACCUUCAAUUGCAGUCUAUCACUACUUUUUAG